This 322-nucleotide ribosomal RNA is filed under the name uncultured soil bacterium. RNAcentral's name for it is "bacterial SSU rRNA". It matches the Rfam family "Bacterial small subunit ribosomal RNA", at positions 26 to 344 of the family's 1533-position model. The record is from RNAcentral.
AGAGUGAACGCUGGCGGUAGGCCUAACACAUGCAAGUCGAACGGCAGCACAGUGGUAGCAAUACCAUGGGUGGCGAGUGGCGGACGGGUGAGGAAUACAUCGGAAUCUACCUUUUCGUGGGGGAUAACGUAGGGAAACUUACGCUAAUACCGCAUACGCCCUUCGGGGGAAAGCCGGGGAUCGCAAGACCUGGCGCGGAUAGAUGAGCCGAUGUCGGAUUAGCUAGUUGGUGAGGUAAUGGCUCACCAAGGCGACGAUCCGUAGCUGGUCUGAGAGGAUGAUCAGCCACACGUGGAACUGAGACACGGUCCAGACCUUCCGA